RNAcentral lists this unclassified non-coding RNA (304 nucleotides) under uncultured Ascomycota. RNAcentral's name for it is "sequence contains ITS1". The stretch from base 1 to 103 matches the Rfam family "5.8S ribosomal RNA", at positions 50 to 154 of the family's 154-position model. The record is from RNAcentral. Lineage: Eukaryota; Fungi; Ascomycota.
GAAAUGCGAUACGUCAUGCGAAUUGCAGAAUCCGUGAAUCAUCAAAUCUUUGAACGCACAUUGCACUUCUAGGUUGACUAGAAGUAUUCCUGUUUGAGUGUCUGUUCACCUUCCUCACUGAAUGCCUCAGUGGUCUCUGGGUCUUUUAAUUAUGUGCUCCACGGAAGUGAUGCAUGUUGACCUAAAACAAUUAACGAUAUCCAUAACGCUCUCAGGAUAAUAAUUUUUCCUCGAACACGUUAUGGGUAAAUAAAAUAUUCACCUAUCAGACCUCAAAUCAGGAGGGGAAACCCCCUGAAUUUAA